This 92-nucleotide transfer RNA is filed under the name Candidatus Microgenomates bacterium. Its description in RNAcentral is "tRNA-Tyr". It matches the Rfam family "tRNA". Rfam says of the family: Transfer RNA (tRNA) molecules are approximately 80 nucleotides in length. Their secondary structure includes four short double-helical elements and three loops (D, anti-codon, and T loops). Lineage: Bacteria; Candidatus Microgenomatota. The record is from RNAcentral.
GGGCGGGCUGCAAGGACGGUGGUCUUGCACCGGACUGUAAAUCCGGUCCCUUUGUGGUAACAUUGUAGGUUCGAAUCCUACCCCGCCCACCA